Molecule: long non-coding RNA, 1721 nt
Organism: Astatotilapia calliptera (eastern happy)
Lineage: Eukaryota; Metazoa; Chordata; Actinopteri; Cichliformes; Cichlidae
Source: Ensembl
CUGGGAUGGAAAAUGGUGUUCAUGAAGGCAGUGUGAAUCACAAGUUAUGCUCGGGAGCAGUUUAUGUGGGUUCAAUGAGAGUGUGCGUCCAUAAGACUGUUUAGCCUGCUACUGUAGGUUCAGGGGGAUGAUGUGGGUCUCAGCUUUGACCCAGAGUCUCCACCUGGUUGGAUAUGCCCCUUUACCUAAGGAGACAUUCAAGAGCAUUGUUCAUGAGGGAUCGAAUGCAAGCAUGUGCCCAGAGUCCUCACCUUUCAGUAUCUCUAAUGGUGAAACAGGACAACCUAUGGAAGAAACUAAUUUCUGCUGCUUGUGGCCAUAGUUCAGGGGUUUGUGAUUCAGUAGAUGGAGCAGCUGUUUGUGCAUAAGAACAGACUUCUAGCCCUGAACAACAACCUAAAGGUAGUUUAACUUAUCCAUUUGCAGAAACACCCCAAUUUCCUACUCAUAAUGCAGCAUCCAACAUUUUUCAGGUAGGAAGCAAGGCUUCAGGCUUGGAGGGACUAACUCUACUCUAUGCUGCAGGAGUUCAUCACCCAAUUAGGCCAAGAGGAACACAUCAUUUACAAAAAGAAAAGAUGUGAUCCCGAGUCCACUAAUACCUGUACUUGUCAAUAUUAAGUGCUAAGAAGACAACACAUUGACACUACAGAGAUAUUUGAUUACAUGUUAAUGCCUAAACAUUGGUUAAACUUUUGCAAUGAAGUUGCAGUGAAGUUAAAAUUAAGAUUUUUGCAACUUCAUUUCAGUUUUUGGUUUUAAUAUCAGUCUUGUGUUUUUGUUUCCGUAUGGCACCAAAUAUCUGGAGGUUUGUUUAAUAAUGUGGAUGUCUUUAUGAUCUUUGUGACACAAAUUAAAUUUUACUUCUAUAUUUACUUCUAUUUUACUUCUAUAUAUUAAUUCACAACAACAGUUGCCUCAAAACCCAACCCAAACAUAAUCAUGAGUUUACUGUACUGAAAUGGCAUCCAUAAUCACCAGAACUUAAUCCAACAGUGAACCUUUGGGAUAUUCAAAUGACAAAUCUGCAGCAACUGUAUGAUGCUGUCGUGUCAAUAUGGACCAAAAUGUCUAAGGAAUGUUUCCAGCCCCUUGUUGAAUCUGUUGAAAACAAUUGAGGCAGUCCUGAAGGCAAAAGAUGUAUCUAAUAAAGUGUCUUGUGAGUGCACACAUUAGAGAAUAUGUUGUUGUAUAUUAGAGUAAUUUAUUGCAUGUGCUGCAUUUUGUCAUCUGCCUUCUCAGACUUUGGUUCAUCAAUGCUGUAACUCGCAGACAAUCCCUCCACAGUUAUCAAUGGCAGACUGAACUAUCAGUGUGUGUGUGUGUAUGUGUGUGUGUGGGUGUGUGUCUGUGUGUGCUUGGCCUGAGAUAACUGGGGUCAGGAAGGCACCAGUCAUAGGACAACCAAUGAAAUAUUUAUAGGAAUACAACACUAGAAGGUUUUACUGUACAGAGCAAAUUCACUGUAUAUAACUGUGACGGCAAGUCUGCACACACGAGUUCAAGACAUCACCAAGAAGAUAUAACAAUAAAGAAAGUGUCUACACAAGGACCAGUUCUUCUUUUAGUUUAUUCAUGUUUAUUUUUAACCAUGAGGUGAUUUUAACCACCCUCACUGACAAUCCUGUGUGGAGUAUUGUUCUCUUCCUGGGAUCUAGUCCUAAUUGUUUUUUUGUUUUUUUAAUACAGUUUGACAUUUAGGUUCUCUUAAUGUUCCACAC